This 73-nucleotide transfer RNA is filed under the name Pseudomonadota bacterium. RNAcentral's name for it is "tRNA-Ile". It matches the Rfam family "tRNA". From Rfam's summary of the family: Transfer RNA (tRNA) molecules are approximately 80 nucleotides in length. Their secondary structure includes four short double-helical elements and three loops (D, anti-codon, and T loops). RNAcentral also lists the same sequence under 1 other name. Lineage: Bacteria; Pseudomonadati; Pseudomonadota. The record is from RNAcentral.
GGGCCCAUAGCUCAAUGGUUAGAGCAGCGGACUCAUAAUCCGUUGGUUGGGGGUUCAAGUCCCUCUGGGCCCA